This 253-nucleotide ribosomal RNA is filed under the name uncultured bacterium. RNAcentral's name for it is "partial 16S ribosomal RNA". It matches the Rfam family "Bacterial small subunit ribosomal RNA", at positions 524 to 776 of the family's 1533-position model. The record is from RNAcentral.
UACGGGGGGGGCAAGCGUUGUUCGGAAUUACUGGGCGUAAAGGGCGCGCAGGCGGUUCUGUUUGUCGAGUGUGAAAGCCCCGGGCUCAACCUGGGAACUGCGCUCGAAACGGCAGAACUAGAGUUCGGGAGAGGAGAGUGGAAUUCCCAGUGUAGAGGUGAAAUUCGUAGAUAUUGGGAAGAACACCGGUGGCGAAGGCGGCUCUCUGGACCGAUACUGACGCUGAGGCGCGAAAGCGUGGGGAGCAAACAGG